GCAUGUGUUUGGAUUUAAGGCAGGCCCACCACCCUGUGUCUUUCAUGAGGCAUAGUUUCCAAAGCCAGAGCAAACUGUGGCCUUGAACCAUUGCUUGGCCUCUAUCUGUGGGUUGCAGGCACUGAAACAGGUUGCACAGUG
Small nucleolar RNA from Phyllostomus discolor (pale spear-nosed bat), 141 nucleotides. RefSeq annotates it as small nucleolar RNA SNORA42/SNORA80 family. The transcript has a single exon. The record is from RefSeq and is a predicted model, not a curated record. Lineage: Eukaryota; Metazoa; Chordata; Mammalia; Chiroptera; Phyllostomidae.